This 354-nucleotide unclassified non-coding RNA is filed under the name Hevea brasiliensis (rubber tree). Lineage: Eukaryota; Viridiplantae; Streptophyta; Magnoliopsida; Malpighiales; Euphorbiaceae. The record is from RNAcentral.
GGGGUAUAAUUGUUUCCUUUUUGAAGAGAUGAAACAAAUCACACAAAGAAGCUAAAAAAAUUGAAUAAUCUCAAUGGUGAGUCGUUUACCUAGAUAUUUCAAAAAUGAAUAUCAACUUCUUGGUAUAUAAACUCUACAAUGGGUAAUGCUCGAGGGAAUUGCUUCAUCUCGUCCGUCAUUUUCAUUCCCAGCUCUCGUUACAACACCAAUUUUCUCAAAUGCAGUUGCAAUGACAAUACAUGCUUCAAAAAUUCCAUUCAAGUUUUCAGGAGUCGUCCUUUGCCAACGUUCUCAUCAAGCACUAGUUCGGAAAUUAUUACCCACUUAUAGCUUCAUUUUCGUAUAAUUGAAAAG